GAUGAACGCUGGCGGCGUGCCUAAUACAUGCAAGUCGAGCGAACGGACGAGAAGCUUGCUUCUCUGAUGUUAGCGGCGGACGGGUGAGUAACACGUGGAUAACCUACCUAUAAGACUGGGAUAACUUCGUGAAACCGUAGCUAAUACCGGAUAAUAUUUUGAACCGCAUGGUUCAAAAGUGAAAGACGGUCUUGCUGUCACUUAUAGAUGGAUCCGCGCUGCAUUAGCUAGUUGGUAAGGUAACGGCUUACCAAGGCAACGAUGCAUAGCCGACCUGAGAGGGUGAUCGGCCACACUGGAACUGAGACACGGUCCAGACUCCUACGGGAGGCAGCAGUAGGGAAUCUUCCGCAAUGGGCGAAAGCCUGACGGAGCAACGCCGCGUGAGUGAUGAAGGUCUUCGGAUCGUAAAACUCUGUUAUUAGGGAAGAACAUAUGUGUAAGUAACUGUGCACAGCUUGACGGUACCUAAUCAGAAAGCCACGGCUAACUACGUG
This 497-nucleotide ribosomal RNA is filed under the name uncultured bacterium. RNAcentral's name for it is "partial 16S ribosomal RNA". It matches the Rfam family "Bacterial small subunit ribosomal RNA", at positions 28 to 507 of the family's 1533-position model. The record is from RNAcentral.